AUGGCGAUCUGCUUCAAGCGAGCUGUUGCCUGGCUUCGUGUUAUCACCAAUUCACCAUGGAUGGUUCUCUCCGUGUCGCGCCAUUACGCCCAUGGCCGCUUCUACUGGAUUUCAGGUUCAAGUGAAAAAUUGCUUGUGCUUGACAUUCAGAGGAUGGAGUUCUCCAUGGCUGACCACCCACCAGCUUUCAGUGGUGGUGUGGCCAUCGUGGAGGCAGGCCAAGGCAUGAUUCGGAUGUUUGUGCGUAAACCCAACGCACCUCUGUUUGUGCCUACAACCCACACAGAAGCCCUUCGUUAUAUGGUUUGGCGAAACAAUGGUGGGAUUUCCACCCGGUGGCAGAGGGAGAAGAAGACAGUCUCACUGGAUUCUGGGUCCGUGCUCACGGGCGCAGUGGGGAGGCACUUGCUGCUGUAUCAGUGUGGAAGAUCGUCAGUCCAGACAGGUGGUUUCACGCUCGAUGUCGACACAUCCCAGGUUGAGAGGGUGUGUGCUUCAUUUCCCGCACCGUCACACGUAUAUUGCAACUUCCCGCCAUUGUUAUUAUCGUCACCGACAGUGUCAAGUGAUACCCCCUUCCCUUCACAGUUAUCUCCACACAAAUUGCCCUGGUUGCUGCAUGAUUGA
This 627-nucleotide ribosomal RNA is filed under the name Triticum aestivum (bread wheat). Its description in RNAcentral is "partial small subunit ribosomal RNA". Lineage: Eukaryota; Viridiplantae; Streptophyta; Magnoliopsida; Poales; Poaceae. The record is from RNAcentral.